This is a long non-coding RNA of Thalassophryne amazonica, 3005 nucleotides long. RefSeq lists it as uncharacterized. The record is from RefSeq and is a predicted model, not a curated record. The transcript has 5 exons. NCBI's taxonomy places the organism in Eukaryota, Metazoa, Chordata, Actinopteri, Batrachoidiformes, Batrachoididae.
UGCUUGUAAACCUUUAAUCGUUUUUGUUUGGUCAGAACUUAAAUCCUCACUUUAACUUUUUGAAAUUAAAUGUCUUUCAAGUCCUGAAUCCAAUCCGGAACAAGAUUAAAAUAACAAGAUGUAUCCAAAUAUAGGACGGCUUCAAUUAAAAUACAUUUAAAAAAAUAUUAAAUAUAUCAAAUCCUCAAAACAACUCAAACACAGGCUGAGAACCAAACACAGGACAGGAAGUGAAAGCAGGCGGGACGACAAAAUAAAAGUUGUCUUAGACGGAAACAUUUAGCUGAAAAUGAAAAUGCAGAAUAAAAAGUCAGACAUCAAACAUGCGUUAAGGAAAAGUGCUGCCAAUAAACCACAGUUAUUCCUAUAUCAUGUGCACAUCAAAAAUACUAAAAUAAAUUGGUCUUCCUCCUUAAGUGGUCGAACCCGGGGCUUCUAGUGGUCUGGUUUUCGUGCUGCACCAUUCAGUCUAACAGUCACGGAGACAUUCUCUCUUUGUUUGGGGGGUUGUUACUGUGGCGGUGACGUGUGCUCUGUAACAUCCCGACAGCGAUGCACACGGCCAAUCAGCAAAUCAGAGAGCAGCAGCUGUGUGGUUAGUCUUACAGGUGAGACAAGGACCACAGGAUGAAAACUCACAGGUCCACCAAAAACACAAAGCAGCAGCAGAAACGGGUCCAAAGUCCAUCUGGUUUUAUGGAAGAGACUUUAGCAGGUGUAGCUCCUCCCACAGCCUCAGUCCAUGAUGCUUGGUUUCUGGGUUCACAGACAUGAGAGUGCUGAUCCAGGACUGUGGAUGGUCUUACGGGAUCAUCCUGGAUCCCAGAAGAUCACCACAACCCGAAUCCAAAUAUCAAUUCAAAGAGGCAACAUGGGACCAAAUGUGAAUCAGUGUGACGGUGAUUAUCAUCCCAAACCCAACCCCGGCAGUCUGACCCCAAUCCAGAUCCAGCUCGCAAUCAUGAAUGUAGGAUAACAGAGCUAAGUACUGAUGGGCCCAAAUCAAGUGACUUCAGAGGCAGAGGAGCAGUCUGUAGGUCAGCCUGCAGAUCUGAAGGUCUGUAAGUCAGUCUCUGUAGGCCUGUAAGUAGAUCUGGAAGUCUGUAGGUCAGUCUCUGAAGGUCUGUAAGUAGAUCUGUAGGUCUGUAGGUCAGCCUGCAGAUCUGAAGAUCUGUAAGUCAGUCUCUGUAGGCCUGUAAAUAGAUCUGUAGGUCAGUCUCUGAAGAUCUGUAAGUAGAUCUGUAGGUCUGUAGGUCAGCCUGCAGAUCUGAAGGUCUGUAAGUCAGUCUCUGUAGGCCUGUAAAUAGAUCUGUAGGUCAGUCUCUGAAGGUCUGUAAGUAGAUCUGUAGGUCAGUCUCUGUAGGUCUGUAAAUAGAUCUGUCGGUCUGUAGGUCAGCCUGCAGAUCUGAAGGUAGGUCAGUCUCUGUAGGUCUGUGUGUAGAUAUGUAGGUCAGUCUCUGAAGGUCUGUAAGUAGAUCUGUAGGUAAGUCUCUGUAGGUCUGUAAGUAGAUCUGUAGGUCUGUAGGUCAGUCUCUGUAGGUCUGUAAGUAGGUCUGUAGGUCAGCCUGCAGAUCUGAAGGUCUGUAAGUCAGUCUCUGUAGGCCUGUAAGUAGAUCUGGAAGUCUGUAGGUCAGUCUCUGAAGGUCUGUAAGUAGAACUGUAGGUCUGUAGGUCAGCCUGCAGAUCUGAAGGUCUGUAAGUCAGUCUCUGUAGGCCUGUAAAUAGAUCUGUAGGUCAGUCUCUGAAGAUCUGUAAGUAGAUCUGUAGGUCUGUAGGUCAGCCUGCAGAUCUGAAGGUCUGUAAGUCAGUCUCUGUAGGCCUGUAAACAGAUCUGUAGGUCAGUCUCUGAAGGUCUGUAAGUAGAUCUGUAGGUCAGUCUCUGUAGGUCUGUAAGUAGAUCUGUAGGUCGGUCUCUGUAGGGCUGUAAGCAGAUCUGGAAGUCUGUAGGUCAGUUUCUGUAGGCCUGUGAGUAGAUAUGUAGGUCAGUCUCUGAAGGUCUGUAAGUAGAUCUGUAGGUCGGUCUCUGUAGGGCUGGAAGUCUGUAGGUCAAUCUCUGUAGGUUUGUGAGUAGAUAUGUAGGUCAGUCUCUGUAGGUCUGUAAGUAGAUCUGUAGGUCAGUCUCUGUAGGGCUGUAAGUAGAUCUGGAAGUCUGUCUCUGUAGGUCUGUAAGAAGAUCUGUAGGUCAGUCUCUGAAGGUCUGUAAGUAGAUCUCUAGGUCAAUCUGUAGGUCUGUAGGUCAGUCUCUGUAGGUCUGUAAGUAGGUCAGUCUCUGAAGAUCUGUAGGUCAGUCUCUGAAGAUCUGCAAGUAGAUCUGUAGGUCUGUAGGUCAGCCUGCAGAUCUGAAGGUCUGUAAGUCAGUCUCUGUAGGCCUGUAAACAGAUCUGUAGGUCAGUCUCUGAAGGUCUGUAAGUAGAUCUGUAGGUCAGUCUCUGUAGGUCUGUAAGUAGAUCUGUAGGUCGGUCUCUGUAGGGCUGUAAGCAGAUCUGGAAGUCUGUAGGUCAGUUUCUGUAGGCCUGUGAGUAGAUAUGUAGGUCAGUCUCUGAAGGUCUGUAAGUAGAUCUGUAGGUCGGUCUCUGUAGGGCUAAAAGUCUGUAGGUCAAUCUCUGUAGGUCUGUGAGUAGAUAUGUAGGUCAGUCUCUGUAGGUCUGUAAGUAGAUCUGUAGGUCAGUCUCUGUAGGGCUGUAAGUAGAUCUGGAAGUCUGUCUCUGUAGGUCUGUAAGAAGAUCUGUAGGUCAGUCUCUGAAGGUCUGUAAGUAGAUCUCUAGGUCAGUCUCUGUAGGUCUGUAAGGAGAUCUGAAGGUCUAUAGGUCAGUCUCUAUAGGUCUGUAAGUAGAUCUGUAGGUCUGUCUCUGAAGGUCUGUAAGUAGAUCUGUAGGUCAGUCUGUGUAGAUCUGUAGGUCAGUCUCUGUACGUCUGUAAGUAGAUCUGGAAGUCUGUAGGUCAGUCUCUGAAGGUGUGUAAGUAGAUCUGUAGGUCAGUCUAAAGGUCUGUAGGUCAGUAUGAAG